Penaeus indicus is the source of this 656-nucleotide long non-coding RNA. RefSeq lists it as uncharacterized. Lineage: Eukaryota; Metazoa; Arthropoda; Malacostraca; Decapoda; Penaeidae. The record is from RefSeq and is a predicted model, not a curated record. The transcript is spliced from 3 exons.
CUGUGUGGUCACCUGGAGUCACCUGUUAAAGCCUGGAGUCACCUAUUAAAGCCUGGAGUUACCUAUUAAAGCCCUUCCCUUCCCGGAAAAAAGGGUGUGUUGUCUUUGCGAGGCAGGGCACCUAGAACCUACGAGGAUUAUCACCAUACAAAGACGCCUUAUGAAUUAAAAGGUGUGUGGGACUGGCGUGGUAAGAUCGCUAGUCUCUAUGUGUGGUAGAAGUUCAAAUCUUUCAAAAGGGAAGUUCAAAUGUUCAACGCAGGACAAGUGAGGUGAGAUUCCACUUGCUCAAAGACGCUCUUUUGAAGAGAUUUAAGGUUCCUUCUGUGAGUGUGGUGCAAUCGUCGUGUUCUUAUAAGUGAUAAAAGUCCUCGCCUAAGACAACUGCAACCACAUGCUCAACGCAUUCCACGGUCACGAGAAAGUGCAAGGAGAGGGGACGAAAAGGGAAGAAGAAGAGAUGGCGGAAAAGAAAAAUAGGUGAGUUGAGUGCAGCGUGAUGGUGCACACGUAAGAAGAGUGAAACAGUAAGUAAACAAAAACAAACACAAUUUACGAAAGAGAAGGAAAUACCACGAUACUUCAGAAUCGAUAGAAUGAGAGAGAGAGAGAGAGAGAGAGAGAGAGAGAGAGAGAGAGAGAGAGAGAGCGAGAGA